GAGUGAUGAAGGUUUUCGGAUCGUAAAGCUCUGUUGUUAGGGAAGAACAAGUGCCGUUCGAAUAGGGCGGCACCUUGACGGUACCUAACCAGAAAGCCACGGCUAACUACGUGCCAGCAGCCGCGGUAAUACGUAGGUGGCAAGCGUUGUCCGGAAUUAUUGGGCGUAAAGCGCGCGCAGGUGGUUCCUUAAGUCUGAUGUGAAAGCCCACGGCUCAACCGUGGAGGGUCAUUGGAAACUGGGGAACUUGAGUGCAGAAAAGGAAAGUGGAAUUCCAAGUGUAGCGGUGAAAUGCGUAAAUAUUUGGAGGAACACCAGUGGCGAAGGCGACUUUCUGGUCUGUAACUGACACUGAGGCGCGAAAGCGUGGGGAGCAAACAGGAUUAAAUACCCUGGUAGUCCACGCCGUAAACGAUGAGUGCUAAGUGUUAGGGGGUUUCCGCCCCUUAGUGCUGCAGCUAACGCAUUAAGCACUCCGCCUGGGGAGUACGGUCGCAAGACUGAAACUCAAAGGAAUUGACGGGGGCCCGCACAAGCGGUGGAGCAUGUGGUUUAAUUCGAAGCAACGCGAAGAACCUUACCAGGUCUUGACAUCCUCUGACAACCCUAGAGAUAGGGCUUUCCCCUUCGGGGGACAGAGUGACAGGUGGUGCAUGGUUGUCGUCAGCUCGUGUCGUGAGAUGUUGGGUUAAGUCCCGCAACGAGCGCAACCCUUGAUCUUAGUUGCCAGCAUUCAGUUGGGCACUCUAAGAUGACUGCCGGUGACAAACCGGAGGAAGGUGGGGAUGACGUCAAAUCAU
Molecule: ribosomal RNA, 800 nt
Filed under: Bacillus sp. CJNY12
Lineage: Bacteria; Bacillati; Bacillota; Bacilli; Caryophanales; Bacillaceae
Description: bacterial SSU rRNA
Rfam family: Bacterial small subunit ribosomal RNA
Source: RNAcentral